GAUGGCCGAGCGGUCUAAGGCGCUAGCUUCAGGUGCUAGUAGAGAAAUCUGCGUGGGUUCGAGUACGUUCUACCACACAGUACU
Molecule: non-coding RNA, 84 nt
Organism: Alternaria postmessia
Lineage: Eukaryota; Fungi; Ascomycota; Dothideomycetes; Pleosporales; Pleosporaceae
Source: the annotation of a RefSeq genome assembly